This is a long non-coding RNA of Hylaeus anthracinus, 1066 nucleotides long. RefSeq lists it as uncharacterized. The transcript is spliced from 3 exons. The record is from RefSeq and is a predicted model, not a curated record. Lineage: Eukaryota; Metazoa; Arthropoda; Insecta; Hymenoptera; Colletidae.
UUAAUUCCGGAACGUUCGUAAUUUUCACGUUAACGCGUUGAAAAGUAGGUAACGCCAGGCGGGAAAAUUGAACAAUGCCGCGAAAUAAAUAAAUGCGAAAGCGGUUCUCAUUUCACGUUACUCGUUUAUGGGGUGCUAACCGUUAACGGUAUUCCGAAUUUUGUACUUUGUUCUAUUGCGUGAGUUACGAAUGGAAAGUGUUUCGCUACAAUUCGUGUAAUCUUUUUCACUCGGCGCUUUUCUCUGUGUUUUAAGCAAUGAAUAUAAAACAGAUAAGUUAACGAUGGGAUUAGUUCGAGUAUUAGGUAUUAUGUAAACAAUGCGAGUUUCUGAAUUAACCAAGGAGUACGGGUACUGGAGUAGGAGUAGGAAAACUGUGGUGUAAAGGUAAAACGCAACAAGGACAGAAAUCUUUAUUAUCGAACAGCUGGUAUUUAUUUUCUAUGGGAAUUGUAAACAGAAAUACAAUAGACUUGUACAUGACGCGGUUGAUACGUUAUACGCGUUGUAUGAAAUCGUGUUACAUGAUCUCAUGUUAUACGGGAGUUCAAUGUAGUGUUUUCACGUUCGAAUUCGAUCGUUUGUUAUUGGAUAAUGUGUCGGUUUCUUAGUUCUCGAGCGUAUAAGUUGAAUCGCUUCAGGAUACGAACCUCGGAUUAUACGAUCAAUCGUUUAAAUCGUGUAACGGUCAUUCUAGCAAGAAAUCUAAUAUUUUAUGAGGUUGUUAACGUAGAUUCGUAACGGUGAUAGCAUUUAACCGAGCUUUAUUUACCGUAGCUCGGGGAAGUAAAGCAAAAAAAAAAAUGAAACAAGCGGAUUCGUUGUGCUGCGGGGUUGACGGACACGUUGCGUGUCUCGUUUUCCUAUUGGUCGACUCGCUGUAGGCUCGUCACCUUUGCAUAUAUGUAGGUAAUACUCGCGCCAUAUGGUGGGGUACUCUAUGCAUACACUGUCUCGGCCAGAUUCUAUCUUACCAACACAAUAGUUAUUCAAGUAUUGGUAGUGAUAGGCGUAGGAGUACUCUGGGAAACAGGUUUGCUUGUGUCUACAGGGUGUCCCGUGCAGA